CAAUAGCGUAUAUUAAAGUUGUUGCAGUUAAAAGCUCGUAGUUGGAUUUCUGGUUUGAUGCCCUGGCCCGCUGCCAUUUUGGUAGUGUGUGCCGGUUGUGCGUCUGCCAUCCUUCUAGGGAACGUUCCUUCUCUUCACUGAGCCGGGUUCGUGAUCUAGAUCGUUUACUUUGAAAAAUUAGAGUGUUUAAAGCAGGCUUUUGCUAUGAAUACAUUAGCAUGGAAUAAUAAUCUAGGUACGUUCGGUGCUUAUUUUGUUUGGUUUCGUUGGAACGUAGAAGUAAUGAUUGGGUAGGGAGUAGGUUGGGGGUGGCUAGUAUUGAGCGG
Molecule: ribosomal RNA, 326 nt
Filed under: uncultured eukaryote
Lineage: Eukaryota
Description: bacterial SSU rRNA
Rfam family: Eukaryotic small subunit ribosomal RNA
Source: RNAcentral